GACAGAGGGUGCAAACGUUGUUCGGAAUUACUGGGCGUAAAGCGCGCGUAGGCGGCUUUGCAAGUCGGGUGUGAAAUCCCCAGGCUUAACCUGGGAACUGCAUUCGAGACUGCAUUGCUAGAGUAUGGGAGAGGGAAGUGGAAUUUCCGGUGUAGCGGUGAAGUGCGUAGAUAUCGGAAGGAACAUCAGUGGCGAAAGCGACUUCCUGGACCAAUACUGACGCUCAUGUGCGAAAGCGUGGGGAGCAAACAGG
RNAcentral lists this ribosomal RNA (253 nucleotides) under uncultured bacterium. Its description in RNAcentral is "partial 16S ribosomal RNA". It matches the Rfam family "Bacterial small subunit ribosomal RNA", at positions 524 to 776 of the family's 1533-position model. The record is from RNAcentral.